Long non-coding RNA from Dermacentor andersoni, 580 nucleotides. RefSeq lists it as uncharacterized. The record is from RefSeq and is a predicted model, not a curated record. Lineage: Eukaryota; Metazoa; Arthropoda; Arachnida; Ixodida; Ixodidae.
GCAACCUAAAGUUUGCCCGCGCGGCACCAGCGCCGAAUGCUCCCCUAGCGGACCGAUGGAAGUUUCGAGGGUCGUCGCUGCGCAAGCGCGCGCCCGUGUUUUGUACGGCGGGAGCGCUCGUGCGCGUGGUUUUUGCGAUGCCGAGUGCGACCUCACCAGCCAGGAAAGGCGGCACGCAAUACUGAUGUGUUGUUGAUUGCCACAGCAGCCUCGAAAACACAAAAGGUCGUACGCCGCCCGUGAAGUUCUACAGAUUUCCGGGGAAGUGGUACGAGAAGGGCAGACGACAAGCAUGGAUAACUGCAGUGCGCCGAGUCAAAUGGAAGCAGCGCCAAACAGACCAAUGGCAAUCACAACAGUCUUCUCAGCAGUCAGCCCCACCGGGACAUGUGCUUUCGUACUGCUGCUCAACAGCAAGACACGUGUGAAACAGACUCCAGAACAUGCCUUUGUGAAGUGACGGAACCGUCAAGAAGCAGCCCAAUGGAUCUGCAGUCAUCGAGUAGUAUAUGACAACAGAAGUUCCUGCUGCCAGUGUGACUUACGUUGUAAUUGAAAUAAAAGUGGCUAAAUUUCUGAA